RNAcentral lists this ribosomal RNA (497 nucleotides) under uncultured bacterium. RNAcentral describes it as "partial 16S ribosomal RNA". It matches the Rfam family "Bacterial small subunit ribosomal RNA", at positions 28 to 507 of the family's 1533-position model. The record is from RNAcentral.
GAUGAACGCUGGCGGCGUGCCUAAUACAUGCAAGUCGAGCGAACAGACGAGGAGCUUGCUCCUCUGACGUUAGUGGCGGACGGGUGAGUAACACGUGGAUAACCUACCUAUAAGACUGGGAUAACUUCGGGAAACCGGAGCUAAUACCGGAUAAUAUAUUGAACCGCAUGGUUCAAUAGUGAAAGACGGUUUUGCUGUCACUUAUAGAUGGAUCCGCGCCGCAUUAGCUAGUUGGUAAGGUAACGGCUUACCAAGGCAACGACGCGUAGCCGACCUGAGAGGGUGAUCGGCCACACUGGAACUGAGACACGGUCCAGACUCCUACGGGAGGCAGCAGUAGGGAAUCUUCCGCAAUGGGCGAAAGCCUGACGGAGCAACGCCGCGUGAGUGAUGAAGGUCUUCGGAUCGUAAAACUCUGUUAUUAGGGAAGAACAAAUGUGUAAGUAACUAUGCACGUCUUGACGGUACCUAAUCAGAAAGCCACGGCUAACUACGUG